RNAcentral lists this ribosomal RNA (504 nucleotides) under uncultured bacterium. RNAcentral's name for it is "partial 16S ribosomal RNA". It matches the Rfam family "Bacterial small subunit ribosomal RNA", at positions 28 to 507 of the family's 1533-position model. The record is from RNAcentral.
GACGAACGCUGGCGGCGUGCCUAUACAUGCAAGUAGAACGCACAGGUUAUAACGUAGCUUGCUACACCAUAAACUGGGAGGUGCGAACGGGUGAGUAACGCGUAGGGAACCUGCCUGGGAGCGGGGGAUAAAUAUUGGGAAAGAUAGCUAAUACCGCAUAAUAUUGAUUAUUGCAUGAUAAUUGAUUGAAAGGUGCUAUUGCAUCACUACCAGAUGGACCCGCGGUGUAUUAGCUAGUAGGUGAGGUAACGGCUCACCUAGGCGACGAUACAUAGCCGACCUGAGAGGGUGAUCGGCCACACUGGGACUGAGACACGGCCCAGACUCCUACGGGAGGCAGCAGUAGGGAAUCUUCGGCAAUGGACGAAAGUCUGACCGAGCAACGCCGCGUGAGUGAAGAAGGUUUUCGGAUCGUAAAACUCUGUUGUAAGAGAAGAACGGGUGUGAGAGUGGAAAGUUCACACUGUGACGGUAUCUUACCAGAAAGGGACGGCUAACUACGUG